Hippocampus zosterae (dwarf seahorse) is the source of this 839-nucleotide long non-coding RNA. RefSeq lists it as uncharacterized. The transcript has 4 exons. The record is from RefSeq and is a predicted model, not a curated record. Lineage: Eukaryota; Metazoa; Chordata; Actinopteri; Syngnathiformes; Syngnathidae.
CUGUAUAAUACGAAUUGCAUCCAAUAAGUAAAUAAUAAUGAUGUUUCAUCACAAUUCCAUAUUAGCAUUUGGGAAUAAUGUUGCUUUCAGAACAAUUACAAUAUUUUAAGUCGUUUUUAAAAUAUGUGUGUGUGUGUAUAUACUGUAUAUAUAUACAGUAUGUAUAUACACACACAUGUAUAUAUGCUGUGCUCAUUUUAGGAGUACAUGACAUUGGUGUAAACAAGAGUUCAUAAAAUAUGUUGAUAUUGCUUGACAUUUACUAUGCCCCACUUCAAAACGGACCUCAGAGGAAAAGUGAAGGAGUUUUGGUUAUGAAGGGGCGGGGCUGUUUUCACACCCCAAAACGUCACAGUUACGUUGCAGGAAACGAGUUUCUACAGCUACCCUCCCCCACAUCACACUCGCUGACCAUCAAUUAGGAAACGCGCGCUUUGCUACCUGCACAAAAGGAAGGCGUUGAGAAGAGUGAGCGUACGAGUCAGCAUCAUCGAGAAAACCCCAGAAAGUGACAAAUACUUCAGAAUUAAAGCAGAUGGACAAUCCCACUGAAGAUGGUGAUUAUUCUGACUCAAGUCUUUUUGGAUCAGAUGAGGAAUACAAACCAACUAAGACAUCCUCUGAGUCGAGUGAUGACGAGGAGAUAUUCCAUCCAAAAGGUAGAAAAAUUGUUCUCUUAUGAUACAUCCAGUGAAGACUCUACAAGUCAUCAGACAUAUGAAGCAGAGGAGCACAGUCAUGUCUGCAAUUCGUAAAGAAGCCCCAAAAAGGGAAAAGCAUCUCUCCAAAAGAGGGAAGACUGAAUUGGAUGAUUCGAGUCCAGGCGGGGACCCUGGCGG